UUGAUUUAACAAUACUUUGUGGUAUAGUUUAUCAAUUGAUUAUUUUAUAUUGUUAAGUUUUUAUCAUUUUGGUGUCAUUUUCCGUGAGAAAAUAGAUAUCUGAAUUAAUUCACACACUCUGAAACAAUAUAUAAAGGGAGGUAACAAAAUAUGUUUCCAUUACAAUUUCAGUGGUAUUUUCGUAUAGUACGGCUAUUUUACUCUUCAAAAUGUCUACUUUUAACUGUAGUAAACGUGAACUAAUAGAAUCUUAUAUAGAAGGCGGUAAAACGACUGCGGCACUUUCGACAUAUUUGGAGGAAAAACAAGUAUCAGAAGACAAUGGUGCUAAUUCCUGCGGUGUCUGCAGGAAUCGGGGCCAAUAUAUGUUUUAUAAUUGGUAAAAUCCAACAGACUAUCAUCCCUGCGUUUAAUAGACGCUGGAAAGAAGCAGCACGCAAUAAGAAUAUAUUUUUAAAAAAUAACACAAAUUGGCUGGAUUCUGAAUAUUCCGUGACUAUACCUACAUCAGAAAACGUGUCAACAGACUCAACACCGUCUACUUCUUCUGGUAAACGAGGAAGACCGCGUGUGACAUAUGGAGAUUCUUCAGAUUCAAGCAAAAAAAGAAGAAACACUAUUUUGAUGAACGAAUAUGGUUUGGAGCACAUUCUGGGCGGAUAUCUUCAAGGAUUGCGUUCUAUGGGAGAAGGAACGGAAGCAAAACUAGUUGAAGAAUUAAGGUUGGCUGAUGCUGAAAAAAAGCUUUUCGUUUUGAAUCACUUUGAUAACGCAAAAAUAAUCAAAACGCUUACAGAUGAAGAAGCAUUCAGUGUUUACAUCGACUUAGAACUAACUAAAGCACAAUAUCUGUAUCUCAGGAACGUUACAGAUGAAAGAAACUGUCCAAUAUUUCCACCAUAUUACAAAAUACAACAAAUGAAACAGGAAUGCUAUCCACCAUCGUCAACAAUUGAAAUCACAAACACAUACGUGAAAAUAUUGAGAAUUCAAGAUCUAUUAGAUCACACUGCAGCUAGAAUCUUAUCUAUAGAAUACAGUUUACAAGAACGGACAAGAACAUUUACUAUUAUACAGCAAACGGGGUUGUGAUGGGUCAUCUGGACAAAGCCAGUAUAAACAAAAACUUCUAGAGGAGUCUGAGCUUAUUUCCGAUGCAAAUUUAUUUAUUACUUCUUUUGUGCCCAUCAGAUUAAUUGACGAGGAUUCAGGCGCCAUCAUAUGGCAAAAUCCAGUGCCUUCAUCUGUCCGUUUUUGUCGGCCUAUAUCUAUAGAAUUUUGCAAAGAAACACAAGAAAAAACGAAAUCUGUUGUUGAUGAUAUAAAAAAUCAAAUACAAAUUUUGCUUCAAACAAUAAUUAAUAAAGAAGGCGUGGGAGUUCAAGUCAAGCAUGAACUUUUUAUGACGAUGAUAGACGGAAAAGUGGCACAAGUUUUAACAGAUACGCCUUCUAGUUCCACAUGCACUGUCUGUGGAGCAACUCCCAGACAAAUGAAUGAUUUAACCAAAGUAACCGUUAGGCCUGAAAAUGAAAAUGCGUAUAUAAUCUAUCUUUCCAAACGUGGUCUGCUACAAGCCCGGAAAAAAAGAGGCUUAGGGAAGAAAAAAAGACUCAAGUACAAAAGCGAUUUCGUGAAGAGUUGGGUUUAAAUAUCGAUAAACCACGACAGGGGACGGGAAAUACCAAUGAUGGCAAUACUGCUAGGCGCUUUUUUUUACAAUUCUUCCUGUUCUGCUGAUAUCACAGGGGUUGACAUUGAUUUAAUUAAAAGACUAUACAUAGUGUUGCAAGCUUUAUCAUCUGGUAUAGUGGUAGACGGCAAGAAAUUUGGUAAUUAUACUCUAGAAACGGCAAGAUUACGUGAGCAAGUAUGGUUGGUAUUAUAUGCCAUCAUCUGUCCACAAAAUUUUAAUUCACGGAGAGAGUAUUAUAAACCAUUUUGCAGUAUUACCAAUUGGACAACUUUCCGAAGAUGCACAGGAAUCUCGUAAUAAGGAUUAUAAGAAAUUUCGACUACACCAUGCUCGGAAAUGUUCUCGAACAGCUACAAACGAAGAUGUGUUCCAUACAUUACUUUAUACUUCAGAUCCAUAUAUAUCUAGCAUAAGAAAAACAUAUACAAAAAGCGUAAAAGAGCUAGAUGAAGAUACUUUACACCUUCUUAAGGCUAAUGAACUGAUUUUAGAUCCUGAAGCUCACCAGGUGUAAAUGGGAAUGAACCUAACCAGAAACCCUAUUACAUAGCUAGUUAAAUUAACAAUAUUAAGAAAAUUUUGAUUCAUUUCUAUGUUUAGCAUAAUGUAUAGCUAUAGGUACUGUACCAUUUUUUAUUUUAUUUUAUCAUUAAUAUGAUAAGUUAUGUUAAUUGAGUAAUUAGUGUUAAGAAAUACAGGUAAGAUAAUAUAACUAAAAAUAUAAAUUUCAAUAAAUAUAUAGCAUUUUAAACGAU
Molecule: long non-coding RNA, 2451 nt
Filed under: Pectinophora gossypiella (pink bollworm)
Lineage: Eukaryota; Metazoa; Arthropoda; Insecta; Lepidoptera; Gelechiidae
Description: uncharacterized LOC126375360
Source: RNAcentral